UGCCCCUUGGCUGAGUUGGUUACAGCGUCCGACUGUUACGUUUCUCGGGCGAGAAAAUGAAUCAUCGGAAGGUCGUGAGUUCGAGCCUCACAGGGGCAG
Trametes maxima is the source of this 99-nucleotide non-coding RNA. NCBI's taxonomy places the organism in Eukaryota, Fungi, Basidiomycota, Agaricomycetes, Polyporales, Polyporaceae. The record is from the annotation of a GenBank genome assembly.